RNAcentral lists this ribosomal RNA (497 nucleotides) under uncultured bacterium. RNAcentral describes it as "partial 16S ribosomal RNA". It matches the Rfam family "Bacterial small subunit ribosomal RNA", at positions 28 to 507 of the family's 1533-position model. The record is from RNAcentral.
GAUGAACGCUGGCGGCGUGCCUAAUACAUGCAAGUCGAGCGAACAGAUGAGGAGCUUGCUCCUCUGACGUUGGCGGCGGACGGGUGAGUAACACGUGGAUAACCUACCUAUAAGACUGGGAUAACUUCGGGAAACCGGAGCUAAUACCGGAUAAUAUAUUGAACCGCAUGGUUCAAUAGUGAAAGACGGUUUUGCUGUCACUUAUAGAUGGAUCCGCGCCGCAUUAGCUAGUUGGUAAGGUAACGGCUUACCAAGGCAACGAUGCGUAGCCGACCUGAGAGGGUGAUCGGCCACCCUGGAACUGAGACACGGUCCAGACUCCUACGGGAGGCAGCAGUAGGGAAUCUUCCGCAAUGGGCGAAAGCCUGACGGAGCAACGCCGCGUGAGUGAUGAAGGUCUUCGGAUCGUAAAACUCUGUUAUUAGGGAAGAACAAAUGUGUAAGUAACUAUGCACGUCUUGACGGUACCUAAUCAGAAAGCCACGGCUAACUACGUG